This 570-nucleotide ribosomal RNA is filed under the name uncultured fungus. RNAcentral's name for it is "eukaryotic LSU rRNA". The stretch from base 208 to 360 matches the Rfam family "5.8S ribosomal RNA". Lineage: Eukaryota; Fungi. The record is from RNAcentral.
AGUAAAAGUCGUAACAAGGUUUCCGUAGGUGAACCUGCGGAAGGAUCAUUAAAGAAUAGGCUUCGGCCUUUUUUUCUUAUCAACCUGUGCAUUAUUAUUUGAUUUUGGCGUGGACGAGACUUCGGUCCCUCGGUCAACGAGUGUGCCCGCCAAAGGUUUUUAAAUUUACAAAGUGUGAUGAAUGUCUUUUUACAAAAACAAAAAGAAAACUUUCAACAACGGAUCUCUUGGCUCUCGCAUCGAUGAAGAACGCAGCAAAAUGCGAUAAGUAAUGUGAAUUGCAGAUUCAGUGAAUCAUCGAAUUUUUGAACGCAGAUGGCGCCCCUUGGUAUUCCGAGGGGCAUGCCUGUUUGAGUGUCAUUUCAUUUCACUUCCGAGUGGAUUUGGGCGUGCAUGUGCUUGCCCUAAAAGAAUGUUGUGUAUUAAAUCUGACGCAGCUUUUCUGUCUUGCGACACUAUUUUUUGAUCGACCUCAAAUCAGGUAGGAGUACCCGCCGAACUUAAGCAUAUCAAUAAGCGGAGGAAAAGAAACUAACCAGGAUUCCCCUAGUAACGGCGAGUGAAGCGGGA